GAUGAACGCUGGCGGCGUGCCUAAUACAUGCAAGUCGAGCGAAUGGAUUAAGAGCUUGCUCUUAUGAAGUUAGCGGCGGACGGGUGAGUAACACGUGGGUAACCUGCCCAUAAGACUGGGAUAACUCCGGGAAACCGGGGCUAAUACCGGAUAACAUUUUGAACCGCAUGGUUCGAAAUUGAAAGGCGGCUUCGGCUGUCACUUAUGGAUGGACCCGCGUCGCAUUAGCUAGUUGGUGAGGUAACGGCUCACCAAGGCAACGAUGCGUAGCCGAGCUGGGAGGGUGAUCGGCCACACUGGGGCUGAGACACGGCCCAGACUCCUACGGGAGGCAGCAGUAGGGAAUCGUCCGCAAUGGACGAAAGUCUGACGGAGCAACGCCGCGUGAGUGAUGAAGGCUUUCGGGUCGUAAAACUCUGUUGUUAGGGAAGAACAAGUGCUAGUUGAAUAAGCUGGCACCUUGACGGUACCUAACCAGAAAGCCACGGCUAACUACGUGCCAGCCGCCGCCGUAA
Molecule: ribosomal RNA, 515 nt
Filed under: uncultured bacterium
Lineage: Bacteria
Description: partial 16S ribosomal RNA
Rfam family: Bacterial small subunit ribosomal RNA
Source: RNAcentral